Molecule: ribosomal RNA, 1158 nt
Filed under: Triticum aestivum (bread wheat)
Lineage: Eukaryota; Viridiplantae; Streptophyta; Magnoliopsida; Poales; Poaceae
Description: partial small subunit ribosomal RNA
Source: RNAcentral
AUGGAGUACGCGGCGGCGGGCGCCGGGGGGUACUACUACUACCCGCCCGCGCAGCAGCCGCAGCCGCCCCCGCAGACGCUCCGCCGCCGCCCGCGCCCCGCCGCCCGCUGGGUCAAGCAGUGGAUCCCGCAGGAUCUCGCCUCCCCCGGCUCCAAGUGCGCCCUCUUCAAGUGGGUCAGAGAGGACGUGUACAAGAAUCUGAAGGAGAACGGCGGCGCGGGGCAGGAGCCCGAGGCGCAGCCACGCAAGGUCGAGCCGGCCACGGAGAUCCUCUUCCUCUGCAGCUACGACAACUGCGGCAAGACCUUUGUCGACGUGGCUGCCUUGAGGAAGCAUGCCCACGUGCACGGCGAGAGGCAGUAUGUUUGCCAGGAGCCCGGCUGUGGGAAGAAAUUUGUAGAUAGCUCAAAGUUGAAGAGGCACCACCUUACUCACACCGGACAAAAGGAUUUCGUUUGCCCACAUCCAGGCUGUGGUAAGGCCUUCUCAUUGGAUUUUAACUUGCGUGCACACCUCAAAACACAUGCUGUGGAAAAUUAUCAUAUAUGCCCCUUCCCAGCAUGUGGCAAAAGAUUUACAAGCGACUUCAAAUUAAAAUGCCAUAUUAAGACACAUGAAAAGACUGGAUCUCCUAUUGCAGUGCAGCAUACACCGCCAGCAGAAAAACCACAAAGCACCAUAAAGCCUUCCAUACAAGCAACCCCAAAGCCUUCUGCGCCCACACCACCAAGCUUUUCCAGUGAGCGCCCUUAUGUCUGCCCCUACGAAGGCUGUGGGAAAGCCUACAUCCACGGUUACAAACUCAACCUCCAUCUCAAGACUCAGCACCCUGACCACAAUCAAGGAGACAAUGGUAGGUCCGCCACACCUGCAGCGGGGUAUAACUAUGCUGACGGCGGUGACAUCGCGCCAAACCCGAAAAGGAGCAAGACAAACCAAGGGCACAGGGCCCCUCCAUCUAACGCCUACAAUGUCAAGGUUUCCAGCAGGAUGGCUGUUGAUACCAGUGGUGCAAAGAACCAGUGGCCAGGCAAGGGUAUGUAUGACGAUGAUAGUGAAGAGACCGAGGAAGACCCUGGUGGUAACAACAUAGAAGAUGGCUGGAGGUAUGGUAACCAGAACGCCGAUUAUGAGGAAACAGAAGAAGAUGAAGACUAG